CAAUAGCGUAUAUUUAAGUUGCUGCAGUUAAAAAGCUCGUAGUUGGAUUUCGGGUGGGAAUGGCCGGUCCGCCGUUUCGGUGUGCACUUGCUACGCCCACCUUGCUGCCGGGGACGUGCUCUUGAGUUCACGCUCGGGACACGGAGUCGGCGAGGUUACUUUGAGUAAAUUAGAGUGUUCAAAGCAGGCCUACGCUCUGAAUACAUUAGCAUGGAAUAACACGAUAGGACUCUGGCCUAUCUUGUUGGUCUGUAGGACCGGAGUAAUGAUUAAGAGGGACAGUCGGGGGCAUUCGUAUUUCAUUGUCAGAGGUGAAAUUCUUGGAUUUAUGAAAGACGAACUACUGCGAAAGCAUUUGCCAAGGAUGUUGUCAUUAA
This 377-nucleotide ribosomal RNA is filed under the name uncultured eukaryote. RNAcentral's name for it is "partial 18S ribosomal RNA". It matches the Rfam family "Eukaryotic small subunit ribosomal RNA", at positions 592 to 976 of the family's 1831-position model. The record is from RNAcentral.